This 320-nucleotide ribosomal RNA is filed under the name uncultured Prevotella sp. RNAcentral's name for it is "partial 16S ribosomal RNA". Lineage: Bacteria; Pseudomonadati; Bacteroidota; Bacteroidia; Bacteroidales; Prevotellaceae. The record is from RNAcentral.
GGAGUCUGGGCCGUGUCUCAGUCCCAAUGUGGCCGUUCAUCCUCUCAGACCGGCUACUGAUCGUCGCUUUGGUGGGCCGUUACCCCGCCAACAACCUAAUCAGACGCAUCCCCAUCCCAUAGCGGUGAACCUUUGGUAUUCUUCAGAUGUCAUCGGAAUACAACAUAGAGCAUUAAUCCGACUUUCGCCGGGCUAUUCUCUACUAUGGGGAAGGUUGGAUACGCGUUACUCACCCGUGCGCCGGUCGCCAUCAAUCAAAGCAAGCUUUGAUCAUGCUGCCCCUCGACUUGCAUGUGUUAAGCCUGUAGCUAGCGUUCAUC